Molecule: ribosomal RNA, 333 nt
Filed under: Triticum aestivum (bread wheat)
Lineage: Eukaryota; Viridiplantae; Streptophyta; Magnoliopsida; Poales; Poaceae
Description: partial small subunit ribosomal RNA
Source: RNAcentral
AUGUUGAGUUCCAGUAUUGAUAAGAAUUCAAGUUCUUAUGUUAUGCAUGGAUGUUGGAUGAGAGACAGGAAUAUACCAAUUAUUAGUUGGGGACUAUUCGGAGUUUUGAGUAUGCUGUGUCUGCCUGUGGCACCGAUGGGCUUCCUGAACUGUGCAUCGGAGCGUCCAACCCCUUUUCACAAUUCCGUGGAGGAAAUGUUAAGUAGAGGGCUUGCUGACAGAAAAAAAAGUAUUUUUGCCUUUGCAUUUUGUGUUCCCCUCCCACAGGAAUCCCGCCGACCAGAUAAACAGAAUUGUUUUAGGUCGAAUCAUUUGCUGUGUGAAGAUAAAUGA